UACGGAGGGUGCAAGCGUUAUCCGGAUUUACUGGGCGUAAAGGGCGCGUAGGCGGCGCGGUAAGUCACUUGUGAAAUCUCUGAGCUUAACUCAGAACGGCCAAGUGAUACUGCAGUGCUAGAGUGUGGAAGGGGCAAUCGGAAUUCUUGGUGUAGCGGUGAAAUGCGUAGAUAUCAAGAGGAACACCUGAGGUGAAGACGGGUUGCUGGGCCAACACUGACGCUGAGGCGCGAAAGCCAGGGGAGCAAACGGG
This 253-nucleotide ribosomal RNA is filed under the name uncultured bacterium. Its description in RNAcentral is "partial 16S ribosomal RNA". It matches the Rfam family "Bacterial small subunit ribosomal RNA", at positions 524 to 776 of the family's 1533-position model. The record is from RNAcentral.